RNAcentral lists this long non-coding RNA (397 nucleotides) under Lathyrus oleraceus (garden pea). RNAcentral describes it as "Pisum sativum (pea) long non-coding RNA (PSAT_LNC022963)". The record is from RNAcentral. Lineage: Eukaryota; Viridiplantae; Streptophyta; Magnoliopsida; Fabales; Fabaceae.
UAUGGACAAUGGUAUUUCUCUGCAAGAAUGUGGCCCAUCUGUGUACCAUGCUGAAUUGGAAUUGAUGUGAUUUACUUUUACUUUGAUGUGAGCAUUUUCUUGGCCUGGAUAACAUCCCUUUCGUGUGUUAUUUUGUGAGAACGAAUCAAAUUACGCGUGAUGGUAGGAAUUUGGUUAGGAGUUUCUUUGUGGUGUUUAUUGAUUAGGUCCUUUUCAAAUUAUAGGGAUUUUGAUAUGUCAUGAGUAAAAUUUAUACCAAAGUUUCAAGCGACCUCUUUUGCAUUCCAUCAAACCAUUUCAAUCUUCUUUCCUUUGUGACAAACUUUGAUUUUUAGAUGAAUAGACAUGUACAAACCCAACUUCACUAUUUGACUGCUUGUGAUUUUUCAACUUGUUU